This 394-nucleotide long non-coding RNA is filed under the name Chloebia gouldiae (Gouldian finch). Its description in RNAcentral is "Erythrura gouldiae (Gouldian finch) lncRNA (ENSEGOG00005014423.1)". Lineage: Eukaryota; Metazoa; Chordata; Aves; Passeriformes; Passeridae. The record is from RNAcentral.
AUCUGUUCUCAUGGCAGGGGGAUUUGCAGAGCUGUUACUGAACAAUAGCUCUGAGGGUAUAAAAGACUUGCUCGGAAGUUACCCCCUUUUAAGCACGUUAAGCAAAGAGACUUGGAUUUUUUUUUACAUUUGCUUCCCUUUUUUUCUGCUUCCAGGAGCUGCUAAAAAAGUCCCUGAUCUUCCUACGCUAUUUGACAGGCUUCUUUUUGACAGCAUCACCUGGGAGAUGUUGGAACAGCUAAGUAACUGAAUGUAUCAGAAAGCAGAAAACACUUAACUUUCCUCUCAAACAUCUAUGUUUGUAAUGGGCUAUCAGCAUCAGUGCAUCCAUGAAGGCUUAAAAAGCCUAAUGCUCAUAUUACAAAUAAAUAAAAAUUAAUGUUUUUGUGUAACA